AUGGCAUUAAGCAUUCCCAUGGGCAUGGGGCACUUCAACCUGUAUGGCUUGCUCUAAAUCCCAGCUAACAGUGGUUUGUAGUUUGGGUCAUAAUUUGGCUUAGAAACCUUGGUUAGCAUCUCUAAAUGAAAAUAAUUCCCCAUUUAUAUUGCUGUCACUAGGGCUGAGUACUGUGUUCAGAAGUAACACCCAAGGAGCCCAAAGGAUGAAUCCCACAGCUGUGCCCAGAGCCUUCCUCGGACUUAAGUGCACUUCUGGAUCAUUUGGUACCCAAGGGAAACCCUCCCUUAAAUGAGCAGAGCACCUCCAUUCCAUUUGUGCUGGACUUCCCUGUAACUCUCAUAAAUUCUCUGGUAAACCAGACCAAGUGGUUCAUGCACAGAUAGAGAAACUAAGGUGAUAAGUAAGAAAGGUAGGUAAAGGACACUAAAAUACUGUAAAUUUGAGUGAACUUUGAAUUUGUAAUACUGUAAAAGCUUUUGUGUUGCUUAAUAUUCAUCAGCCUGAGAAUUUUGCUUCCAGACCUGUUGCAGUAUUCAUCCUCUCUACUGUCUAACAGGGAUGGCAAAAUCAAAAAUCAAUGUGUGUCUUAAUACUGUGCUACUGACAUGCUCAGACUUGCUUUGAUAUCCCCACUUUGGAAAUAAAAAAUCCAAGAACAGGGAAAAAAAACCA
RNAcentral lists this long non-coding RNA (675 nucleotides) under Zonotrichia albicollis (white-throated sparrow). RNAcentral's name for it is "lncRNA (ENSZALG00000013099.1)". The record is from RNAcentral. Lineage: Eukaryota; Metazoa; Chordata; Aves; Passeriformes; Passerellidae.